This 640-nucleotide ribosomal RNA is filed under the name uncultured bacterium. RNAcentral's name for it is "bacterial SSU rRNA". It matches the Rfam family "Bacterial small subunit ribosomal RNA", at positions 202 to 845 of the family's 1533-position model. The record is from RNAcentral.
UAAAGGUAUUCCGGUAGACGAUGGGGAUGCGUUCCAUUAGAUAGUAGGCGGGGUAACGGCCCACCUAGUCUUCGAUGGAUAGGGGUUCUGAGAGGAAGGUCCCCCACAUUGGAACUGAGACACGGUCCAAACUCCUACGGGAGGCAGCAGUGAGGAAUAUUGGUCAAUGGGCGAGAGCCUGAACCAGCCAAGUAGCGUGAAGGAUGACUGCCCUAUGGGUUGUAAACUUCUUUUAUAAAGGAAUAAAGUCGGGUAUGGAUACCCGUUUGCAUGUACUUUAUGAAUAAGGAUCGGCUAACUCCGUGCCAGCAGCCGCGGUAAUACGGAGGAUCCGAGCGUUAUCCGGAUUUAUUGGGUUUAAAGGGAGCGUAGAUGGAUGUUUAAGUCAGUUGUGAAAGUUUGCGGCUCAACCGUAAAAUUGCAGUUGAUACUGGAUAUCUUGAGUGCAGUUGAGGCAGGCGGAAUUCGUGGUGUAGCGGUGAAAUGCUUAGAUAUCACGAAGAACUCCGAUUGCGAAGGCAGCCUGCUAAGCUGCAACUGACAUUGAGGCUCGAAAGUGUGGGUAUCAAACAGGAUUAGAUACCCUGGUAGUCCACACGGUAAACGAUGAAUACUCGCUGUUUGCGAUAUACGGCAAGCG